This 406-nucleotide ribosomal RNA is filed under the name uncultured bacterium. Its description in RNAcentral is "partial 16S ribosomal RNA". It matches the Rfam family "Bacterial small subunit ribosomal RNA", at positions 30 to 526 of the family's 1533-position model. The record is from RNAcentral.
AUUGAACGCUGGCGGCAGGCCUAACACAUGCAAGUCGAGCGACCGGCGGACGGGUGAGUAAUGUCUGGCAACCUGCCUGAUGGAGGGGGAUAACUACUGGAAACGGUAGCUAAUACCGCAUACCAUCAGAUGUGCCUAGAUGGGAUUAGCUAGUGGGUGGGGAAACGGCUCACCUAGGCGACGAUCCCUAGCUGGUCUGAGAGGAUGAUCAGCAACACUGGAACUGUGACACGGUCCAUACGCCUACGUGAGGCAGCAGUGGGGAAUAUUGCACAAUGGGCGAAAGCCUGAUGCAGCCAUGCCGCGGGUGUGAAGAAGGUCUUCGGGUUGUAAAGCACUUUAAGCGGGGAGGCGUUACCCGCAGAAUAAGCACCGGCUAACUCCGUGCCAGCAGCCGCGGUAAUUC